This 253-nucleotide ribosomal RNA is filed under the name uncultured bacterium. Its description in RNAcentral is "partial 16S ribosomal RNA". It matches the Rfam family "Bacterial small subunit ribosomal RNA", at positions 524 to 776 of the family's 1533-position model. The record is from RNAcentral.
UACGUAGGGGGCAAGCGUUAUCCGGAUUUACUGGGUGUAAAGGGAGCGUAGGCGGCGCGUUAAGUCUGAUGUGAAAACCCGAGGCUCAACCACGGGAGUGCAUUGGAAACUGGCGGGCUGGAGUGCCGGAGAGGUAAGCGGAAUUCCUAGUGUAGCGGUGAAAUGCGUAGAUAUUAGGAGGAACACCAGUGGCGAAGGCGGAUGACUGGACGGCAACUGACGGUGAGGCGCGAAAGCGUGGGGAGCAAACAGG